This 29-nucleotide non-coding RNA is filed under the name Cricetulus griseus (Chinese hamster). Lineage: Eukaryota; Metazoa; Chordata; Mammalia; Rodentia; Cricetidae. The record is from RNAcentral.
AGUUGACAGUGGAUGAAGAGAUGGCGCAU